UAUAUAUAUUAUAAUCACUUACUCUAUUACAAAAUACGACCCACAACUCAUUUAUCUAGUUUGUACAUGCCAUAGUUAGAAUUUUAACAUUUUAAAUACCGAAACAACAUAUAGGGUGAUGAACUUGCUGACGGUCCCCGAGCUUGAAGCUUGAUUUUUUUAAAACUAUAAAACAAAAAGACAUAAACAAAUAAAGUAAGUUUUUAUAGCUUAGUAAGUCUAUAGCAUACCCAAAAAUAUAAUAAUUAAAUAUUACAUAAAUAUUAAAUAAUUUCCUGAUUCCAUAAAUAUACAUUUCAACCUUCACAUAUCUUAUUAUGUAAUACUUAGAAUCAAAUAUACAUACACAUCAAUUGUGUAUAACCGAAUGCUUAUUUAUAUACGUAUAUAUAUUCAAUAACUAUUAAAAUCGAAUAUACAUAUGUAUUUAUACAUAUACAUUUAAAUAUCAAUCUAAUAUAACAGAAUACAUCUUUACUUGUCAAAUUAUAAAUCACUGGACUCAUAGAAACUAAUAAUUAUAUAUAUACAAAAUGCAUAUAUAUAUUCAUAUGCUUAACAAAUAUAAAGAUUGAAUAGGUACAGGUAUUUAUCAUAAACAUAUAACUAAAGGUAUAUGUGUACUUACCCUGUACAUAUACUCAAAUAUAAAUAUGAAUAUAUUAAUCACAUUUCAUAACCCAUCACACAUAUUUGUAUAUUAAUCAUAGAUUUUAACCUAACUCAUACUUAAACAUAAAUAACCGAAUGCUUUAUUGAUCAACAAUUACUUGCAAAUAAAUAACCAAACAUAUUUAUGUUCCCACAUGCGCAUAAGUAUAUUUCUUCAAUUUUUUAUGCCAAAAACACAUAUAUUAACAUGUGUAUACCUUUCAAUUGCAUUUAACAAUUGCAUAGAUAUAUACAUAAAAUUGUCAACUACUUAGGUUAAAUAAAAGUGCAAACUCCUUCAAAUACUUGAGUCUGGACAACUCACACAUUUUAGACAUAUUCACCGGCAACUAGCCUGCUAGGUUUUUUUUUUCUAAAAAAAAUCUGAUUCAAUUCACCGGCAAUUAGCCUGCUAGACUUAAAGUCCGAAUUAUUUCACCGGCACAAAGCCUGCUAGACAUAAAGUCCGAAUAACUUCACCGGCCUUAAGCCUACUAGGUUUUAAACCUGAAAAUUUCAAUUUCACAUAUACGAAAUACUCCUCAAGUAAUUCUUUAAAGUAAUCACAUAAUUGUAAAAGAUCAUAUUCAAACAUAAGAGAGUUUAUAAAAUCCUAUCUUCAAUUCAAUUCAAGCAUUUGUAAAUUGUAUGGGCACACAUAUAUUCAUAUACAUUACUACUUAACUAAAUUUAAUACAAAACUUUACAUACCUAAAUACACUUAUUCGAGCCUAACUAAACAUAUAUAUAAGUAUACGUUUGAUGCUAUCCAUAUAUGUAUAUAUUUAAAUAUAUACUUAACACUUAACAUUGAAUUAUAUUAAAUACCUAUUCGAAUGUAAACAUAUAUGCAUCAAUUCAUAUAGAAACACCCAUUCGAAAUUUCUUAUGCAUAUACAAUAUAUAUACCUUUAAUCAAACUUAAAAAUUAUACAUAAUUGUACAUAUACUUAUUUUCGAAACUUAUUUUGCAUUUAUAAUCCCCAUAUCACCAACUAUUUUCAAAUAAGUCAUAAACAUAUAAAAUAUAUAUAUAUUGAAAUAUUUAAACAAUGUAUAUACAUAUAUCUAUGUACUAUUCUUAAUUAUAUUUAUUAUUAAAACUUAUAUAAACAUAUAUCCUUAUAGCCGAAUAUAGCUUACACACAAAUACUAUCCAUAUUUCAAGUCUAUUCAACCAAAGUAUACUUGAUUAUAAAUCAACAAUAAAUCAACAUAGAUUCAUACACAUAUAUAUAUACUAAUUUAGUUCCAUUUAGUAGCUAGUAGACUUACCUCGGACGAAGAAAAAUCGAAGUCGGACGAUUAUUCGACUACUUUGGCUUUUCCCCGAUCUAACUCUGAUUUCUUUGGUUCUCGAUCUAAAUAUAUUCAAAAUGAGCUAAUUUAAUUAUUAACACAUUCAAUUGAGUCCAAAAAUACAUAAAUGGGCAAAUUACCAUUUUGUCCCUGAUAUUUACAUUUUUUUUCAAUUUAAUCUCUAUUGCAUAAAACACAAAAUUUGCCCGUGCCACAAAAGAGCUGAAUAUUCAUAGUUCUCAUACAAGUCCACACAUUUCAUUUAUUUCACAUUUUAGUCCUCCAUAAAUUUAAAUUUCACAAUUUAACCCUAAAUAUUCGAUUUCACCAAAAAUUCAAAUACAAAUCAUAUUAAUCUUUCACCUAUCUUUCAUAUUUCAUCAACAACUAACAAAAGCUCAAGCAUUCAUCAAUGGUAAAACUCAAAAUCACCAGAAAAUUCUACAAUUAAAACAUGGGCUAAAUAAUACACGAAACAACGAUCACAAAAACAUAAAAAUCAUCAAAAACCGGGACCAAAAUAUACCUCAAUUAAACCAAGCAAUUGCCGAAACCCUAAAGGCCAUGGUUGAAUUCUUCUUAGCUUAGUUUCGG
Molecule: long non-coding RNA, 2544 nt
Filed under: Gossypium barbadense (sea-island cotton)
Lineage: Eukaryota; Viridiplantae; Streptophyta; Magnoliopsida; Malvales; Malvaceae
Description: long non-coding RNA (GBAR_LNC013290)
Source: RNAcentral